ACUUCUUUUCUUUGAUAGGGCAAAAGAAAUUUUAUAAUCACUUUCUUGUCCCUGCACUUUGUUAUAAAUGGUGGAGAUCAGCAGAGGUUGAGAGACCUGGCUACCAUACAAGACAAAGUACGAGUAGCAAAAUCAAAGUGUAGAAUGCUAUACAUGAAGUCUUUCUUGUUUUUUCUUGUUCUCCUCUCUUUUCUCACGUUUGUUGAGCUCAAUCAUGCAAGAAAGGAACCGAGGGAGAAUUACUGGAAGAGCAUGACGAAAGAUCAGCCUAUACCGGGAGCAAUUAGAGACCUUUUCGUUCAAGAUCCUGCCGGUGCUGACAAAAUGAACCAUUUUGUUAAGGAUUUUGAUACGAAGCACAACGCCAUCAUAUACCAUAGUCAUGAGAAGGACAAGCUGAAAGAAAAGAAAUCCAUGAAUCCCACAAAUACUUGGGAUCAUGAGACAGAGAAGGAAUAAGAACAAUAAGUAGAAAAGUUGUGAUCCAAGGACUUAUCACCUGUGUUUGUAGAAUAUCUAGUAGUGUGCUUCGUAUUGAUUGAUUGGUGUAUAAGUCUGGUUGUGUUAUUAAAUAAUAAUUAAGCUUUUUGUGUGUUUA
This is a long non-coding RNA of Populus euphratica (Euphrates poplar), 598 nucleotides long. RefSeq lists it as uncharacterized. NCBI's taxonomy places the organism in Eukaryota, Viridiplantae, Streptophyta, Magnoliopsida, Malpighiales, Salicaceae. The transcript is spliced from 2 exons. The record is from RefSeq and is a predicted model, not a curated record.